RNAcentral lists this ribosomal RNA (382 nucleotides) under uncultured marine Chaetocerotaceae. RNAcentral's name for it is "SSU rRNA". It matches the Rfam family "Eukaryotic small subunit ribosomal RNA", at positions 587 to 972 of the family's 1831-position model. The record is from RNAcentral. Lineage: Eukaryota; Bacillariophyta; Thalassiosirophyceae; Chaetocerotales; Chaetocerotaceae.
AGCUUCAGUAGCGUAUAUUAAAGUUGUUGCAGUUAAAAAGCUCGUAGUCGCAUUUCUGGCGAGAGGAUCCGGUCCGACCUUUUGGUGGGUUCUUGGGUCUCUUUCGCCAUCCUUGAGUGGUCCGUUCUGGCAUUAGGUUGUCGGAGCGUCAGCCGCUCAUCGUUUACUGUGAGAAAAUUAGAGUGUUCAAAGCAGGCUUAUGCCGUUGAAUAUAUUAGCAUGGAAUAAUAAGAUAGGACCUCGGUACUAUUUUGUUGGUUUGCGCACCAAGGUAAUGAUGAACAGGGACAGUUGGGAGUAUUUGUAUUUCGUUGUCAGAGGUGAAAUUCUUAGAUUUACGAAAGAGAAACUACUGCGAAAGCAUUUACCAAGGAUGUUUUCA